CCUACGGGCGGCAGCAGUGAGGAAUAUUGGUCAAUGGACGAGAGUCUGAACCAGCCAAGUCGCGUGAGGGAUGAAGGUUCUAUGGAUCGUAAACCUCUUUUAUAAGGGAAUAAAGUGCGGGACGUGUCCCGUUUUGUAUGUACCUUAUGAAUAAGGAUCGGCUAACUCCGUGCCAGCAGCCGCGGUAAUACGGAGGAUCCGAGCGUUAUCCGGAUUUAUUGGGUUUAAAGGGUGCGUAGGCGGCCUUUUAAGUCAGCGGUGAAAGUCUGUGGCUCAACCAUAGAAUUGCCGUUGAAACUGGGAGGCUUGAGUAUGUUUGAGGCAGGCGGAAUGUAUGGUGUAGCGGUGAAAUGCUUAGAGAUCAUACAGAACACCGAUUGCGAAGGCAGCUUACCAAGCUACUUCUGACGUUGAGGCACGAAAGCGUGGGGAGCAAACAGGAUUAGAUACCCUAGUAGUC
Molecule: ribosomal RNA, 460 nt
Filed under: uncultured bacterium
Lineage: Bacteria
Description: partial 16S ribosomal RNA
Rfam family: Bacterial small subunit ribosomal RNA
Source: RNAcentral